AUACGGAGGGUGCAAGCGUUAAUCGGAAUUACUGGGCGUAAAGGGUUCGUAGGCGGUUAUUUAAGUCAGAUGUGAAAGCCCCAGGCUCAACCUGGGAAUUGCAUCUGAUACUGGGUAACUAGAGUUUAAGAGAGGAGUGUGGAAUUUCCGGUGUAGCGGUGAAAUGCAUAGAGAUCGGAAGGAACAUCAGUGGCGAAGGCGGCACUCUGGCUUAAAACUGACGCUGAGGAACGAAAGCGUGGGUAGCAAACAGGAUUAGAAACCCUUGUAGUCC
RNAcentral lists this ribosomal RNA (274 nucleotides) under uncultured bacterium. Its description in RNAcentral is "partial 16S ribosomal RNA". It matches the Rfam family "Bacterial small subunit ribosomal RNA", at positions 523 to 796 of the family's 1533-position model. The record is from RNAcentral.